Molecule: long non-coding RNA, 220 nt
Organism: Etheostoma spectabile (orangethroat darter)
Lineage: Eukaryota; Metazoa; Chordata; Actinopteri; Perciformes; Percidae
Exons: 3
Source: RefSeq, a predicted model, not a curated record
AUCAACAUAAAAUGCAAUACAAUAAAAUAAAAUCAACAUAAAAAUGAGCUCAGCAAAGCGUCCUAAGACACAAAAGAAGGACCCACAUAACACAACAUCCUAUACAUUAACUGUAAUAAUGAAAGUGUUGGUGUAUUUAUUGCACCCCUGCUCUGCUGGGCUAAGAUUUACUAUUGGAGUUCAGCGGCUUGACGGAAGUUGGAAUAAAGGAUAACUUUAG